GGCGAUGUAGCUCAUUGGUAGAGUGCUUGCCUAGCAUGUGCAAGUCUCUGGGUUUGAUCCCCAGCACCA
This 69-nucleotide transfer RNA is filed under the name Marmota monax (woodchuck). It matches the Rfam family "tRNA". From Rfam's summary of the family: Transfer RNA (tRNA) molecules are approximately 80 nucleotides in length. The record is from Rfam by way of RNAcentral. Lineage: Eukaryota; Metazoa; Chordata; Mammalia; Rodentia; Sciuridae.